Molecule: ribosomal RNA, 1379 nt
Filed under: uncultured bacterium
Lineage: Bacteria
Description: bacterial SSU rRNA
Rfam family: Bacterial small subunit ribosomal RNA
Source: RNAcentral
GAUUGAACGCUGGCGGCAGGCCUAACACAUGCAAGUCGAACGGUAACAGGAAGCAGCUUGCUGCUUUGCUGACGAGUGGCGGACGGGUGAGUAAUGUCUGGGAAACUGCCUGAUGGAGGGGGAUAACUACUGGAAACGGUAGCUAAUACCGCAUAAUGUCGCAAGACCAAAGAGGGGGACCUUCGGGCCUCUUGCCAUCGGAUGUGCCCAGAUGGGAUUAGCUAGUAGGUGGGGUAACGGCUCACCUAGGCGACGAUCCCUAGCUGGUCUGAGAGGAUGACCAGCCACACUGGAACUGAGACACGGUCCAGACUCCUACGGGAGGCAGCAGUGGGGAAUAUUGCACAAUGGGCGCAAGCCUGAUGCAGCCAUGCCGCGUGUAUGAAGAAGGCCUUCGGGUUGUAAAGUACUUUCAGCGGGGAGGAAGGCGAUAAGGUUAAUAACCUUGUCGAUUGACGUUACCCGCAGAAGAAGCACCGGCUAACUCCGUGCCAGCAGCCGCGGUAAUACGGAGGGUGCAAGCGUUAAUCGGAAUUACUGGGCGUAAAGCGCACGCAGGCGGUCUGUCAAGUCGGAUGUGAAAUCCCCGGGCUCAACCUGGGAACUGCAUUCGAAACUGGCAGGCUAGAGUCUUGUAGAGGGGGGUAGAAUUCCAGGUGUAGCGGUGAAAUGCGUAGAGAUCUGGAGGAAUACCGGUGGCGAAAGGCGGCCCCCUGGACAAAGACUGACGCUCAGGUGCGAAAGCGUGGGGGAGCAAACAGGAUUAGAUACCCUGGUAGUCCACGCCGUAAACGAUGUCGACUUGGAGGUUGUGCCCUUGAGGCGUGGCUUCCGGAGCUAACGCGUUAAGUCGACCGCCUGGGGAGUACGGCCGCAAGGUUAAAACUCAAAUGAAUUGACGGGGGCCCGCACAAGCGGUGGAGCAUGUGGUUUAAUUCGAUGCAACGCGAAGAACCUUACCUACUCUUGACAUCCAGAGAACUUUCCAGAGAUGGAUUGGUGCCUUCGGGAACUCUGAGACAGGUGCUGCAUGGCUGUCGUCAGCUCGUGUUGUGAAAUGUUGGGUUAAGUCCCGCAACGAGCGCAACCCUUAUCCUUUGUUGCCAGCGGUUAGGCCGGGAACUCAAAGGAGACUGCCAGUGAUAAACUGGAGGAAGGUGGGGAUGACGUCAAGUCAUCAUGGCCCUUACGAGUAGGGCUACACACGUGCUACAAUGGCGCAUACAAAGAGAAGCGACCUCGCGAGAGCAAGCGGACCUCAUAAAGUGCGUCGUAGUCCGGAUUGGAGUCUGCAACUCGACUCCAUGAAGUCGGAAUCGCUAGUAAUCGUGGAUCAGAAUGCCACGGUGAAUACGUUCCCGGGCCUUGUACACACCGCC